This 451-nucleotide long non-coding RNA is filed under the name Crocodylus porosus (Australian saltwater crocodile). RNAcentral describes it as "lncRNA (ENSCPRG00005001233.1)". The record is from RNAcentral. Lineage: Eukaryota; Metazoa; Chordata; Crocodylia; Crocodylidae.
CACAAAUGCUUUUCCUUCAGACAGCUGAGCCAACAUUUGGUAAUAUAACCCAAGAUGAGAUCAACUUUGAAUAUAUAAACAAAGAAAGACAAAAAGAAUGGCAGAUUGUCAAGAACAUCGUGGUGCAGGACAUAUUGUUUCACAAUGGAAUUGUUCCUGGUUUGGGGAAAUGGAUACAUGAAUUGAGUCAUCCAGCUAAGGCAGGGUGUGGGAAGAGACAGAACAAAUGCCGUUAAGUGACGUCCGUCUGUAAGAGGUUUGGGACUUCAGUGCAAGCCAACAAUCAUUUCACUACUUUUGUUUCUCUUUGCUGUCACAACAGCCCUCCCAGGUUAAGUCUCUCGCCCACUCAAUUUCUUCCUGUAGACCACCAUACAUCUGUUAAUUAUUUCUACUUGGCAAACUUUCCUCCCCUUAUCCCUCCUGUUUCCUGUGCUAUGACCCCUUUUUG